CUCCCAGCCCUGCGCCGCCUGUGCCUCCGAGCCCCGCGCCACCAUCUCCGGAGCCGCCUAGCCCUGCGCCUCCCUCGCCGGAGCCUCCCAGCCCUGCGCCGCCUGUGCCUCCGAGCCCCGCGCCGCCUUCGCCGGAGCCACCUAGCCCUGCGCCUCCCUCGCCGGAGCCUCCCAGCCCUGCGCCGCCUGUGCCUCCGAGCCCCGCGCCGCCUUCUCCGGAGCCGCCUAGCCCUGCGCCUCCGUCGCCGGAGCCUCCCAGCCCUGCGCCGCCUGUGCCUCCGAGCCCCGCGCCGCCUUCUCCGGAGCCACCUAGCCCUGCGCCACCGUCGCCGGAGCCUCCCAGCCCUGCGCCGCCUGUGCCUCCGAGCCCCGCGCCGCCUUCUCCGGAGCCACCUAGCCCUGCGCCACCGUCGCCGGAGCCUCCCAGCCCUGCGCCGCCUGUGCCUCCGAGCCCCGCGCCGCCUUCUCCGGAGCCGCCUAGCCCUGCGCCUCCGUCGCCGGAGCCUCCCAGCCCUGCGCCGCCUGUGCCUCCGAGCCCCGCGCCGCCAUCUCCGGCGCCGCCUAGCCCUGCGCCUCCGUCGCCGGAGCCUCCCAGCCCUGCGCCGCCUGUGCCUCCGAGCCCCGCGCCGCCAUCUCCGGAGCCGCCUAGCCCUGCGCCUCCCUCGCCGGAGCCUCCCAGCCCUGCGCCGCCUGUGCCUCCGAGCCCCGCGCCGCCUUCUCCGGAGCCGCCUAGCCCUGCGCCUCCGUCGCCGGAGCCUCCCAGCCCUGCGCCGCCUGUGCCUCCGAGCCCCGCGCCGCCAUCUCCGGCGCCGCCUAGCCCUGCGCCUCCGUCGCCGGAGCCUCCCAGCCCUGCGCCGCCUGUGCCUCCGAGCCCCGCGCCGCCUUCUCCGGAGCCACCUAGCCCUGCGCCUCCGUCGCCGGAGCCUCCCAGCCCUGCGCCGCCUGUGCCUCCGAGCCCCGCGCCGCCUUCUCCGGCGCCGCCUAGCCCUGCGCCUCCGUCGCCGGAGCCUCCCAGCCCUGCGCCGCCUGUGCCUCCGAGCCCCGCGCCGCCAUCUCCGGCGCCGCCUAGCCCUGCGCCUCCGUCGCCGGAGCCUCCCAGCCCUGCGCCGCCUGUGCCUCCGAGCCCCGCGCCGCCUUCUCCGGAGCCGCCUAGCCCUGCGCCACCGUCGCCGGAGCCUCCCAGCCCUGCGCCGCCUGUGCCUCCGAGCCCCGCGCCGCCUUCGCCGGAGCCGCCUAGCCCUGCGCCUCCCUCGCCGGAGCCUCCCAGCCCUGCGCCGCCUGUGCCUCCGAGCCCCGCGCCGCCUUCUCCGGAGCCGCCUAGCCCUGCGCCUCCGUCGCCGGAGCCUCCCAGCCCUGCGCCGCCUGUGCCUCCGAGCCCCGCGCCGCCAUCGCCGGAGCCGCCUAGCCCUGCGCCUCCGUCGCCGGAGCCUCCCAGCCCUGCGCCGCCUGUGCCUCCGAGCCCCGCGCCGCCUUCUCCGGAGCCGCCUAGCCCUGCGCCUCCGUCGCCGGAGCCUCCCAGCCCUGCGCCGCCUGUGCCUCCGAGCCCCGCGCCGCCAUCGCCGGAGCCGCCUAGCCCUGCGCCUCCGUCGCCGGAGCCUCCCAGCCCUGCGCCGCCUGUGCCUCCGAGCCCCGCGCCGCCUUCUCCGGAGCCGCCUAGCCCUGCGCCUCCGUCGCCGGAGCCUCCCAGCCCUGCGCCGCCUGUGCCUCCGAGCCCCGCGCCGCCUUCUCCGGAGCCGCCUAGCCCUGCGCCUCCCUCGCCGGAGCCUCCCAGCCCUGCGCCGCCUGUGCCUCCGAGCCCCGCGCCGCCUUCUCCGGAGCCACCUAGCCCUGCGCCACCGUCGCCGGAGCCUCCCAGCCCUGCGCCGCCUGUGCCUCCGAGCCCCGCGCCGCCUUCUCCGGAGCCGCCUAGCCCUGCGCCUCCGUCGCCGGAGCCUCCCAGCCCUGCGCCGCCUGUGCCUCCGAGCCCCGCGCCGCCUUCUCCGGAGCCACCUAGCCCUGCGCCUCCUUCGCCGGAGCCUCCCAGCCCUGCGCCGCCUGUGCCUCCGAGCCCCGCGCCGCCUUCUCCGGAGCCGCCUAGCCCUGCGCCACCGUCGCCGGAGCCUCCCAGCCCUGCGCCGCCUGUGCCUCCGAGCCCCGCGCCGCCUUCGCCGGAGCCGCCUAGCCCUGCGCCUCCCUCGCCGGAGCCUCCCAGCCCUGCGCCGCCUGUGCCUCCGAGCCCCGCGCCGCCUUCUCCGGAGCCACCUAGCCCUGCGCCUCCCUCGCCGGAGCCUCCCAGCCCUGCGCCGCCUGUGCCUCCGAGCCCCGCGCCGCCAUCUC
Molecule: long non-coding RNA, 2316 nt
Filed under: Chlamydomonas reinhardtii
Lineage: Eukaryota; Viridiplantae; Chlorophyta; Chlorophyceae; Chlamydomonadales; Chlamydomonadaceae
Description: long non-coding RNA (CREI_LNC000554)
Source: RNAcentral